RNAcentral lists this non-coding RNA (21 nucleotides) under Rattus norvegicus (Norway rat). Lineage: Eukaryota; Metazoa; Chordata; Mammalia; Rodentia; Muridae. The record is from RNAcentral.
AGAAGAAAGUGAACGCUGGCC